Molecule: RNA transcript, 1212 nt
Organism: Arachis duranensis
Lineage: Eukaryota; Viridiplantae; Streptophyta; Magnoliopsida; Fabales; Fabaceae
Gene name: histone H1
Exons: 6
Source: RefSeq, a predicted model, not a curated record
AACCGCCGAGCCACCUCCGGAGGCAGAGCCCGAGAACCCAACUCCCAAGCCCAAGAAGGCCGCUAAGGAGCCCAAGCCCAAAAAACCCGCGGCUCCUAGAUCCCGAAACCCCUCUCACCCUCCCUACGAAGAGAUGGUUAAGGACGCGAUUGUGACGUUGAAGGAGAAAAACGGUUCCAGUCAAUACGCGAUUCAGAAGUUCGUAGAAGAGAAGCAGAAGCAGCUACCUUCCAACUUCAGGAAGCUCUUGUUGUAUCAUUUGAAGAAGCUCGUUUCUUCUGGAAAGCUCGUUAAGGUCAAAGGCUCCUUCAAGCUUCCUCCGGUCAGGUCUGCAGCUCCCAAACCAGCUGCUGCUGCCCCCGCCAAGAAGAAGGCUGCAGCUGCUAAGCCCAAACCAAAGCCCAAGCCCAAAGCUAAGCCUGCUUCUAAGGCCAAGGACACCAAAACUACUAAGUCAGCAGCAGCCAAAGCACCUGCCAAGGCCAAGCCCGCUGCAAAGCCCAAGCCCAAGGCCAAGCCAGCUGCUAAACCCAAGGCGGUUGCUGCUAAGACCAAGGCAGCUCCGGCCAAGUCUAAGGCCAAGGCUAAGACGGCGCCAGCUGCAAAGCCGAAGGCAGCUGCGAAGCCUAAACCGGCUGCUAAGCCCAAGCCCAAGCCCAAAGAGAGGCCCUCCAAGGCUUCUAGAACGUCGACGAGAACUUCACCGGGGAAGAAAGCCCCUGCCGCUAAACCUGCGGCGAAGAAGGCAGCUCCCGCGAAGAAAGCCCCUUCAAAGGGUGCAAAGGCGAAGACCGUGAAAUCUCCUGCGAAGAAGGCGACGACGGCGAGAAGGGGGAGAAAGUGAAGAGGGUAGACGGCACCGGAGCCUAGUGUUGUAGGUUUAGUCAUUGGAACGGAAUUGCGGUUGUGGUCAUUGGCUUUGUCGGAUCUCUAAAUGGUUGAAUUCCCGAAGAUGAGAAAUCCUUGUACCACGUGUUUUUGGAUGCGAUAACUGGGAUCAAUGGUCGUGAUUACAUCUAAAGCUCUCGCUGAUAAUUUCUGAUAGACAAGCUUGCUCGCUUUUCAAUGCUGUUGAGUUCAAUCUUUGAGGAUGGAAAAAUCAGCUUCACAAACUGGGAUGGUGUUGGCAUCUUCAUCCCACUUCAGACAGUCGAUUUCUUCUGGAUCAACAAGCCCUGUCUUGGCUAUCUUUCUAUCCUUUUAACAGGUAUU